RNAcentral lists this ribosomal RNA (769 nucleotides) under Microniphargus leruthi. RNAcentral's name for it is "partial 28S ribosomal RNA". The record is from RNAcentral. Lineage: Eukaryota; Metazoa; Arthropoda; Malacostraca; Amphipoda; Niphargidae.
GGGGCUUGGAUGGCUUCCGCAGAUACGUGCAUCACUCGUGGUGUAUCGUCAGACUGACAGUAUGGUUCGUCAAGUAGGAGCCUCUAGUGGCCACCGCUGACGUAAGGCUUUUGGUCGUGGGUCCAAGUUGGGCUCACGGCCUCUGGUUAUGGAUGGACGUUCAAAGCUGUCGUUCUAAUGCGGGUUGGCCCACCACGGCACGUUGUGAGGUCACCCACAGGCUCAGACUGCUGAUCGCGUACCCAGGAGGACUUGGCUCUGAAGCGUGUCUGACAAUGCCCUCCGUGCACUUAACGGAGGGCCCUACGCGCGCCUAUUCCUGGGUCGGGCAGCGACCGAGUUAAACCUGGUAUGAUCCUCUCGCGACGAGCUGCUUUCUGGCCAGACCGGCGUCCCGGCCUCAUUCCCUGUGCCGGAGUGGGGUCGACCCCAGGCGGUGUGACCCUCUGUGUGAGUAAAAUCAACAAGGUCUCUCAGCCGGGCGCUGGUCUGAGUGGUGUAAUGUCCAGCACCAUCGGUCACGUCUCGAAACACGGGCCAAGGAGUAUAGCAUGUGUGCAAGUCUAAGGGUCUCACAAAACCCGAUGGCGAAGUGAAAGCAAGUCUGUGGCGGGCGAGCCGUUCGCGGCGGACCCGUCAGCCUCGGCGGCGCGCUAUUUAUAGUGCGCUGCCGGGCUUUCAGCAGAGCUGAUCCUGUUCUCGGUUUGUUCUUGGUGCAGGCGCAAGCUCCGGGCUCACGUACAGUAGCACUGGUCACGCGUCUCGUGCG